This 252-nucleotide long non-coding RNA is filed under the name Citrus sinensis (sweet orange). RNAcentral describes it as "long non-coding RNA (CSIN_LNC002475)". The record is from RNAcentral. Lineage: Eukaryota; Viridiplantae; Streptophyta; Magnoliopsida; Sapindales; Rutaceae.
GACCAUCCCAAAAGAAACUGUACGCCGUUUGCUUCCCUUUGGAAAAUAAAUAAAUGAAACAAGUCAUAAAAAUCCUUGAUCUAGACUGGCUAUCUUUCAAUUUAAUGUCACCGGUCUCACGCAGUGUUUUUGUAUAGGUAUUAUAUGUUUUAUUUGAUUCCGAAAUUUCGGGGCCUUUGUUUCAUGAUAUUCAGAUGAAGGAAAAUGGAGAGAAGACUGAUACUAAAAAGGAUGGACUAUAUGUGAUACAGA